Long non-coding RNA from Halichondria panicea, 669 nucleotides. RefSeq lists it as uncharacterized. The transcript has 3 exons. The record is from RefSeq and is a predicted model, not a curated record. NCBI's taxonomy places the organism in Eukaryota, Metazoa, Porifera, Demospongiae, Suberitida, Halichondriidae.
CUAGUUGUCUGCGCAUGCGUCAAUCGUUCGUCAGAUUCUGACGAAUGGAUAUUCUCGUUCACUUUUGUGACAUUUAUAUUCGUGUACUAUCGUGUACUAGAAGUCAGUUCCCGUUUUAUCAUUAUUGGAAUAGAUUGGAAUGGCUCUUAGCUGAAGCUUCUCUCUUCUCUGAAGCUUAUUCUGAAGACUGAACAACAAGGGAAGAGGUAUAAAGCUUUGUCAAGCUUGUUAAGGAGCAAUGGCUAAUAUCCAGCUAUCCCAACAGUGCUCCUCUUGGCUAUACUAACGGACGAGACUGGACAGUUUGAGACACAGGACUGGAGUAUGACCUGCUCAUUCGAGCGUUGCUGGGUAGCUCAGAGACAUCAAGAGAAUCUACGUUUUCUCAAGCAAUGAGUUACGAGUUGGGGCCUAGAAUCAGAGAAGUCCAGCAGCCUGCUAAAUCUUUUUGAAACGUAAUUUGAAGGCAUUCAAUCAUCUUGAAGUUGCCCUGGGUCACUGUAAUUGUGCUGCAGCACAACUGGCAACUCCCCAGGCCUUUGUGAAGCAGCUCCCUAUGUGCAUUUUUUGUGUACUCACUCUGUGCAUUUUCUGUGUACAAAUUUCUAUUAUUGAUUUAUUAAAUAUUUUUGCCGACCACAAAUAUACAAUGAAAAUUUGACGCAUGCA